GCUAAGCCCUAAACAUUGAUAGCCCCAUUUACUAUGCUAUCCGCCAGAGAACUACUAGUGAAAAACUUAAAACUCAAAGGACUUGGCGGUGUCCCAUAUCGACCUAGAGGAGCCUGUCCUAUAAUCGAUACUCCCCGUUCCACCCAACCUUUACUCGCACAUUCAGCCUAUAUACCGCCGUCGACAGUCUACCCCAUGAGGGCCCUUAGUAGACAUAAUAGUAAUCACUCACUAGUACGUCAGGUCAAGGUGUAGCAAAUGUUAAGGAAGUGAUUGGCUACAUUUUUUAUUUUAAAACAAACGAAAUGCAACAUGAAAACCUGCACGAAGGUGAAUUUAGCAGUAAAAUGAACAAGAGAGUUCACUUUAACAUCGCUCUGGGACGCGC
This 388-nucleotide ribosomal RNA is filed under the name Acanthodactylus hardyi (Hardys fringe-fingered lizard). RNAcentral's name for it is "partial 12S ribosomal RNA". It matches the Rfam family "Bacterial small subunit ribosomal RNA", at positions 794 to 1384 of the family's 1533-position model. The record is from RNAcentral. Lineage: Eukaryota; Metazoa; Chordata; Lepidosauria; Squamata; Lacertidae.